Molecule: ribosomal RNA, 429 nt
Filed under: Bacteroidota bacterium
Lineage: Bacteria; Pseudomonadati; Bacteroidota
Description: Bacteroidetes bacterium partial 16S ribosomal RNA
Rfam family: Bacterial small subunit ribosomal RNA
Source: RNAcentral
UAGGAAAUCUUCCGCAAUGGACGCAAGUCUGACGGAGCAACGCCGCGUGAGUGAAGAAGGAUUUCGGUUCGUAAAACUCUGUUGUUAGAGAAGAACAGCGCAUAGAGUAACUGUUAUGCGUGUGACGGUAUCUAACCAGAAAGCCACGGCUAACUACGUGCCAGCAGCCGCGGUAAUACGUAGGUGGCAAGCGUUGUCCGGAUUUAUUGGGCGUAAAGCGAGCGCAGGCGGUCAAUUAAGUCUGAUGUGAAAGCCCCCGGCUCAACCGGGGAGGGUCAUUGGAAACUGGUUGACUUGAGUGCAGAAGAGGAGAGUGGAAUUCCAUGUGUAGCGGUGAAAUGCGUAGAUAUAUGGAGGAACACCAGUGGCGAAAGCGGCUCUCUGGUCUGUAACUGACGCUGAGGCUCGAAAGCGUGGGGAGCGAACAGG